This 475-nucleotide unclassified non-coding RNA is filed under the name Hevea brasiliensis (rubber tree). The record is from RNAcentral. Lineage: Eukaryota; Viridiplantae; Streptophyta; Magnoliopsida; Malpighiales; Euphorbiaceae.
GGAUACGCUGCAUGCAUGCUCCAGCAAGGAUUUGGCUCAAAGACGCAAGUACGUGUGGAAGUGGAGCAAGAGGAACCUUCUUUAUUAAAGGAGAAGCCGACCCCAGUUGUUGAAACUGUGAAAGAUGAACAAGAAGCAGGUUGGCCAUCAUUUGGACAGCUACUCUGGGAUUUGGCCAAGCUUGCAAUAGAGGGUCUGGGUUCCCUUUUUGGCUAUGCCGUUCCUCUGCGGUAUAGACCCAAGAGCUUCAUUAGACCCGGACUAACUCCAUUGAAAGAUUCACUGAUCAUGCCUGAAGAUGAAGUUGAGCCCCCAUUAGUUCAAAAGCAGAGGGCUCCACCACCCGCUUCCGAGAUCAGACAUGUCCCAGCUGUCGGUGAUAAAGUAGUACCCGAGGGCAAGCCCACCAAGAUUAGAUCGAGUAGCUCAAAAGACCCUAACUUGUCAACGAAGCACAGGUCUUCCAGACGACAUG